Choloepus didactylus (southern two-toed sloth) is the source of this 501-nucleotide non-coding RNA. The record is from the annotation of a RefSeq genome assembly. Lineage: Eukaryota; Metazoa; Chordata; Mammalia; Pilosa; Megalonychidae.
GUAGGAAGUGGCAGUCAGAUUUACGUUCCCCGGGCAAGAGAACAAACAACCUGAGUCUCCACAGGAGGGAUGGACAAGCUCCUGGGGGCAUCACUGUUGAUCCUGUGGCUUCAGCCAGACUGGGUGAAUAACCAACAGAAGGAGAAAGAAGGCCAGCAGGUUAAGCAAAGUCCUCCAUCCUUGAGGGUCCAGGAAGGAGGAAUUUCAAUUCUGAACUGUGUGGAUAGUAAUGAAGAUGGAAGAUUCACAGUCUUCCUGAAUAAAAGUGCCCAACACCUCUCUCUGAACAUCACAGCUGCACAGCCUGAAGACUCAGCCUUGUACUUUUGUGCAGCCAGUGCACAGUGCUCUCCAGGCACCUGCAACCUCUACCUAAACCUGCAGCUGAAGUCCAAGCCAACCCUUGCUUUGGGGUCUCAGAUUUGGGGGGCACACAGACUUGCUUGCAUUUACACAGGGCGGCAUGAGAGAGUAUGCUUUAAAGUAGGUGAGGCAAGAUGA